GUUCCACCUCUUCCCAUUCCGAACAGAGAAGUUAAGCUCAGUCACGCCGAUGGUACUGCGUAACAGUGGGAGAGUAGGUAGUCGCCGUUU
RNAcentral lists this ribosomal RNA (90 nucleotides) under Bacteroides sp. Lineage: Bacteria; Pseudomonadati; Bacteroidota; Bacteroidia; Bacteroidales; Bacteroidaceae. RNAcentral also lists the same sequence under 1 other name. The record is from RNAcentral.